This 450-nucleotide ribosomal RNA is filed under the name uncultured bacterium. RNAcentral describes it as "partial 16S ribosomal RNA". It matches the Rfam family "Bacterial small subunit ribosomal RNA", at positions 354 to 796 of the family's 1533-position model. The record is from RNAcentral.
GUGGGGAAUCUUCCGCAAUGGACGAAAGUCUGACGGAGCGACGCCGCGUGAGUGAAGAAGGCCUUCGGGUCGUAAAGCUCUGUCAUCAGGGACGAACGGCCGGUGGAGUGGAAAGCCACCGGAUUGACGGUACCUGAGAAGGAAGCCACGGCUAACUACGUGCCAGCAGCCGCGGUAAUACGUAGGUGGCAAGCGUUGUCCGGAAUUCUUGGGCGUAAAGCGCGCGCAGGUGGGAUCUUAAGUCCAUUUUUAAAGUUCGGAGCUCAACUCCGUGAUGGGAUGGAAACUGGGAUUCUUGAGUACCGGAGAGGAAAGCGGAAUUCCCCGUGUAGCGGUGAAAUGCGUAGAUAUGGGGAGGAACACCAGUGGCGAAGGCGGCUUUCUGGACGGUGUCUGACACUGAGGCGCGAAAGCCAGGGGGGCGAACGGGAUUAGAUACCCGAGUAGUCC